RNAcentral lists this unclassified non-coding RNA (375 nucleotides) under soil metagenome. RNAcentral's name for it is "partial contains 5.8S ribosomal RNA, internal transcribed spacer 2, and large subunit ribosomal RNA". The stretch from base 2 to 121 matches the Rfam family "5.8S ribosomal RNA", at positions 35 to 154 of the family's 154-position model. The record is from RNAcentral.
AGAUGAAGAACGUAGCGAAAUGCGAUACGUAAUGUGAAUUGCAGAAUUCAGUGAAUCAUCGAAUCUUUGAACGCAACUUGCGCUCCUUGGUAUUCCAUGGAGCAUGCCUGUUUGAGUGUCACGUAAACCCUCACCCUUUCGAUGUUAAAAUCGUCUUGGUGGAUUUGGAUUGUGCCGUAAUUGGCUCAUCCUGAAAUGCAUUAGCUUGCGCUUUUUACAGUGCUCGGCAUGGUGUGAUAAUUAUCUGCGCCGUCGCCUUAGGCCUGUUCUAUAUGUGCAGCUUCUAAUCGUCCCUUGUGGACAAAUUACUUAACACUUUGGCCUCAAAUCAGGUAGGACUACCCGCUGAACUUAAGCAUAUCAAUAAGCGGAGGA